AACGACUCUUUCACAAGCUUUCUUUAUGUUAGAUAACACAGAUGUGUCUACACCACAAAACAGAGUUUGACGGAGAAAGCAGUGCUGAGCAAGAACUGACUUUAUGUAAAGCAUUUCAGAGCUGGAGGAGCAUUGUGCUGUAUUGAUAACUCCCUUGAGAAGGCUUCAGUGUAAGCCCAGGGGGUGUGGUGAUCUGAAAUAUGGAGAGACACAGAGAUCCCCUUUGUGAGGACAUCACGAAGGGGAGCAGCAUUGUGUGGGCAUGACAUGGAAAUGCUACAAGUUCUGAUAUCCUCGUAGCUCCUGAAGACCAUUGCAAGUACACCGAUUUUGUUAUCUCUAUCAAGAAAAGUAGAUAAUAAUUUUUAAAAAGAUAAGGCAAAUCCUCAUUUUAUUAGACAGAUGAAGAGUGCUUUGUAUUUAUG
RNAcentral lists this long non-coding RNA (425 nucleotides) under Coturnix japonica (Japanese quail). RNAcentral's name for it is "lncRNA (ENSCJPG00005011830.1)". Lineage: Eukaryota; Metazoa; Chordata; Aves; Galliformes; Phasianidae. The record is from RNAcentral.